UUUAGUAGUAAAUUAAGAAUAGA
RNAcentral lists this non-coding RNA (23 nucleotides) under Cricetulus griseus (Chinese hamster). Lineage: Eukaryota; Metazoa; Chordata; Mammalia; Rodentia; Cricetidae. The record is from RNAcentral.